RNAcentral lists this transfer RNA (88 nucleotides) under Omnitrophica WOR_2 bacterium RIFCSPHIGHO2_02_FULL_50_17. RNAcentral describes it as "tRNA-Ser". It matches the Rfam family "tRNA". From Rfam's summary of the family: Transfer RNA (tRNA) molecules are approximately 80 nucleotides in length. Their secondary structure includes four short double-helical elements and three loops (D, anti-codon, and T loops). The record is from RNAcentral. Lineage: Bacteria; Pseudomonadati; Candidatus Omnitrophota.
GGAGAGGUGGCAGAGUGGUCGAAUGCGGCGGUCUCGAAAACCGUUACUCCGCUUUGCGGGGUCUUGGGUUCAAAUCCCAACCUCUCCG